This 3633-nucleotide long non-coding RNA is filed under the name Salvia miltiorrhiza (redroot sage). RNAcentral's name for it is "long non-coding RNA (SMIL_LNC008235)". The record is from RNAcentral. Lineage: Eukaryota; Viridiplantae; Streptophyta; Magnoliopsida; Lamiales; Lamiaceae.
GACAUAGUUCCAUCAUUUCCUUCAGCCUCCUGCUGUGAUAAAGCAAACAAUCGUGCAUUUCCUCCAGUUCUUAGCUCAUUCGCUCUUCCUUUAGGACAUGUAUUUGCAAAAUGUCCCGGCUCAGCGCACUUAAAACAAACUCCUUUGUUCCAUAGACACUUGCCUGCGUGAAACUUCUUGCAUUCCGGGCACUGAGGUCGCUGUGCUCCUCCUGGACGUACUUCUCCUAUCUUCUUAUUUGGAAAGUUUUCAUUCCAUUUGUUACUGGUGUCAAACUUUCUCUUCCCACUGUUGUCUCCAGCCUUGACUGGCACAACAUCAGCCUCCAAACCAGUUGCUACCUCAUGAGCUCGUCUUACCGCCAAUCCAUAAUCCACAAUCUCUUGUCCCGCCAAAAUACCCCGAAUUUCAGGUCGAAGCCCUCUCAAGAACCGAUCAGCCUUAAGAUCCUCAGUAUUCACCAUACGAGUAGCAUAGCGAGCCAAAAGAUUGAACUUCCUCUCGUAUUCUGUGACUGACAUGGUUCCUUGUUUGAGGUCUAGGAAUUCUGCUUGCUUUUGAUUUCGGUAUGAACGUGGAAAAUACUUGUCCAUUACAACCUCCUUGAACCUGUUCCAAGUAAGUCCUUGACGUUGAACCUCCGUCAUUCCAUUCUUAUACGACCUCCACCAAUGACCGGCAUCUUCAGUGAAUUGGAAAGUUGCACAGGACACUUUGUGCGCGUCAACACACUCUAUGUGCUCAAAUAUCCUUUCCAAUUCCAUCACCCACUCCUCAAGUGCUAACGGCCCACUCUUUCCAUCAAAUCUUGGCGGUGUAUAACGACGGAACUGCUCAAUCACUUGAUUGGUUUGUGUUUGAGCUGGUGCAUUGUUAGGAAGAUUAUGCACUUGAGUUUGUUGUUGGACAAAACCUUGGAGUGCAGUAAUCAAAUUUUGUAUUAAGUUUCCAUCGCCAACAUUUGCUUCUGCAUCAUUCCCGGUGUUGUCAUUGAGAUUUGGAUUGUUUCUUUGUGGACGUCCCGGUUUCAUUUUCCUAGAAAUUCAACAUAAUUACUUGUUGAAUAUAUAUAUAUAUAUAUAUAUAUAUAUAUAUAUAUUAAAGGCAUAUACCUUCACUUACUAAUACCACAUAAUAUUCAACUUAUAAUAGUGAAUAAUAACUCAAUAAAAUAUUCAAAACACAAAGAAAUCUUGUCCAAUAUUAUUAUAUCCUGGCGAAAAUAAAUAAUCCAAAGGAAUGACUUGUUCUCAAAUCCAUAACUAAAUUUCAAGGGAAAACAAAAUAUCAUAAUAGAAUUUCGAAGGUGAUCCUAACUUCUAGUCCUCAUACUCGUCAUCAUUGCAGUCGUCAUCUGCAUCGUUGUUUCCUUCUGGGUCCUCUUCCGGAUCCUCUUCCUCCGAGCUAACUUCUAUAGGCUCAUAGUUCUCGUCAAUUUCGUGUAUUUCAUUGUACUCAUCGUGAAUCUUCUGACCUACUGUCUCGAUAAAUUGCUCGAAAUUUAUCUUGUCCACCCGACCUAGCCUUCUAACUAACAAUUUAUUAUAUAUGUUAUAAACCGUAAAGUAGUGUGCCGGGGAAACAAAAUUAACUACCCUAUAAGCCGCCUCGAACUGACGUACGUCUUCCAUGAUCACCUGUCCUGAGCCACAAGUUUUUAAUAGCCACUAAAUUCUCUAAUGCUCUCAUUCUUGGGUUCCAUUCCUUAUUAAAGAAUCAAUGUUUAGCAGCUUUAUGCAUCACCACCAGGUCAACGGUGUUAUCGGCCAUUCUAUUCAAAUACAAAUCAGAUUAUGAAUACAUAUUAUCAGUUUUUCUAGGUCUCAAGGUCAAAAACAAAAUCAAUGAAAAUAUAUCAUUAAUUUUGAAUAAACCAAUUCAAACUUCAAAAUUUUCAAAAUCCAUCAUACUUCAUUAAGCAUAAAAAUAACACUAUUAAAUUUACCUUGGAGUAGGAGCGCGUGGCGAAGAUGUGGUGUUUAGAAUUUUUUAUUAUUAUUUUUUUUCUCAAGUCUACAGAAACGUAGACCUGCUCUGAUACCACUAAAUGUAACACCCUAAUUAUAAAUUUUGUUCUAAUUAAAUAUCAUAUAGUAUUUUCGCAAAAAUAUCGACAACCUCAAAUAAUGUAAUUCCAAAAUCCUGUAGAGAACUCAAUAAUCGAAAGUAAACCGACCAAAUAAUAUUUUUAGGAAAAUAAUCACCAUACACACUAGACGGAAAACAUAAUGUUAAUUUACCAAAGUACCUAAUAUAAUAUGAGAAAGUCAAAUAUGAUUCACUAGAAAUUCAUAAACUUUACCUUUAAAGUAAACUAAACUUCAAAUCCUAAGUUUUCCUUAACCAAUAAAGGGUCUUUAGUAAUAUUAAAGAAAGUUUUCAUAACAUAUCCUAAGCACCACACACAUCCAUCACGCAUCUCCUUGCUCCUCGCCUGAAAAAGUUUUAAAUAAAAUGGGGUGAGUAUUUUAAAUAUACUCAGUGAGGGGGAAUUCAUAACUAAUCUUUUACUUUGUCCAAACGUGCAACAUAGCAUAUGAAAUAUAAAAUCAUAACUUCAACCAUAAACCAACAACUUGCUCAAAUAACAAGAGAGGAAAUAUGGGACAUAACUUCAACCACAUUUCAAUACAACACAUAAGAAAGUAUGAACACAUGGGACAUAUCACUUCAAUUGUGCACCGGAACAUAAACUUGGCAUAUUGCUAUAUUCUCACAUCAUAAUCUCAUUCAUAAAUCAUAGCAUAUGUAAACACGUUGGACAUAAAAUAACUUUUUCAGUAAAUAACUUAAAAUAUUUUCUUGCGGAAUUUAAACAUAAAAUAAAGGAACUUUCUUUAUUUUUACCCACCUCAAAUCUUUGAUAGCAAACUUGACUAACGUUUGGCUCAAUUAGGAUCUNUCCAGUUCUUGGCUCAUUCGCUCUUCCUUUGGGACAUGUAUUUGCAAAAUGUCCCGGCUCGGCACACUUAAAACAAACUCCUUUGUUCCAUAAACACUUGCCUGCGUGAAACUUCUUGCAUUCCGGGCACUGAGGUCGCUGUGCUCCUCCUGGACGUACUUCUCCUAUCUUCUUAUUUGGAAAGUUUUCCUUCCCCUUGUUACUGGUGUCAAACUUUCUCUUCCCACUGUUGUCUCCAGCUUUGAAUGGCACAACAUCAGCCUCCAAACCAGUUGCUACCUCAUGAGCUCGUCUUACCGCCAAUCCAUAAUCCACAAUCUCUUGUCCCGCCAAAAUACCCCGAAUUUCAGGUCGAAGCCCUCUUAAGAACCGAUCAGCCUUAAGAUCCUCAGUAUUCACCAUACGAGUAGCAUAGCGAGCCAAAAGAUUGAACUUUCUCUCGUAUUCUGUGACUGACAUGGUUCCUUGUUUGAGAUCUAGGAAUUCUGCUUGCUUUUGAUUUCGGUAUGAACGUGGAAAAUACUUGUCCAUUACAACUUCCUUGAACCUGUUCCAAGUAAGUCCUUGACGUUGAGCCUCCGUCAUUCCAUUCUUAUACGACCUCCACCAAUGACCGGCAUCUUCAGUGAAUUGGAAAGUUGCACAGGACACUUUGUGCGCGUCAGCACACUCUAUGUGCUCAAAUAUCCUUUCCAAUUCCAUCACCCACUCCUCAAGUGCUAACGGCCCAC